Molecule: ribosomal RNA, 253 nt
Filed under: uncultured bacterium
Lineage: Bacteria
Description: partial 16S ribosomal RNA
Rfam family: Bacterial small subunit ribosomal RNA
Source: RNAcentral
UACGUAGGGUGCGAGCGUUGUCCGGAAUUAUUGGGCGUAAAGGGCUCGUAGGCGGUUUGUCGCGUCGUGAGUGAAAACCAUGAGCUUAACUCAUGGCUUGCUUUCGAUACGGGCAGACUAGAGGUAUGCAGGGGAGAACGGAAUUCCUGGUGUAGCGGUGAAAUGCGCAGAUAUCAGGAGGAACACCGGUGGCGAAGGCGGUUCUCUGGGCAUUACCUGACGCUGAGGAGCGAAAGCGUGGGGAGCGAACAGG